UGGGGAAUAUUGGACAAUGGGCGCAAGCCUGAUCCAGCAAUGCCGCGUGUGUGAAGAAGGUCUUCGGAUUGUAAAGCACUUUUGGCAGGGACGAUGAUGACGGUACCUGCAGAAUAAGCCCCGGCUAACUUCGUGCCAGCAGCCGCGGUAAUACGAAGGGGGCUAGCGUUGCUCGGAAUGACUGGGCGUAAAGGGCGCGUAGGCGGUUUAUACAGUCAGAUGUGAAAUUCCUGGGCUCAACCUGGGGACUGCAUUUGAUACGUAUGGACUUGAGUGGAGAAGAGGGUCGUGGAAUUUCCAGUGUAGAGGUGAAAUUCGUAGAUAUUGGAAAGAACACCGGUGGCGAAGGCGGCGACCUGGUCUUUAACUGACGCUGAGGCGCGAAAGCGUGGGGAGCAAACAGGAUUAGAUACCCCCGUAGUCC
Molecule: ribosomal RNA, 424 nt
Filed under: uncultured bacterium
Lineage: Bacteria
Description: bacterial SSU rRNA
Rfam family: Bacterial small subunit ribosomal RNA
Source: RNAcentral